This 255-nucleotide ribosomal RNA is filed under the name uncultured bacterium. RNAcentral's name for it is "partial 16S ribosomal RNA". It matches the Rfam family "Bacterial small subunit ribosomal RNA", at positions 524 to 776 of the family's 1533-position model. The record is from RNAcentral.
UACGAAGGGGGGCUAGCGUUGCUCGGAAUUACUGGGCGUAAAGGGCGCGUAGGCGGAUAUUUAAGUUGGGGGGUGAAAUCCCGGGGCUCAACCUCGAAAUUGCCUUCAAAACUGGAUAUCUUGAGUUCGGGAGAGGUGAGUGGAACUCCGAGUGUAGAGGUGAAAUUCGUAGAUAUUAGGAAGAACACCAGUGGCGAAGGCGGCUCACUGGUCCGGUACUGACGCUGAGGUGCGAAAGCGUGGGGAGCAAACAGG